This is a long non-coding RNA of Erpetoichthys calabaricus (reedfish), 891 nucleotides long. RefSeq lists it as uncharacterized. The transcript has 4 exons. The record is from RefSeq and is a predicted model, not a curated record. NCBI's taxonomy places the organism in Eukaryota, Metazoa, Chordata, Cladistia, Polypteriformes, Polypteridae.
AGCAGAGCUGAGCAGGAGCGGCUGAAGCUUCGGCUCUGCUAGACGGGCAUCGGCUCCUCUCGUUCGCUUCAAAGCCGCGGCUCUUAGAGCCGGCUCGUUCGCGAACGACACAUCAGUAAUAGCCAGUGAUACCAAAAAUGGGAGAAGUCUUUGGUGUUUCGUGCUUGGAGUUGCCUGUCCGCUGUUCGGAUACCGGUGGAUUCCUGCUGUCUCCUGGAUCGUCUCUUGUUCUGGGCUAUGGUCUGCCUGGUGUCUUCCUGCACAUGAGGACUGUCCGAGGAUUUGUUGUCACCCUGUGAAGAAAGGAGCGCUCCUGAUCCUAUUCACUGUCUUCAUCUCAUCAGGAAAUACCGUUGGUUUGCCGCCUCUCUUCGGUGCCCAGCGCUGAGGAGACUCCCUUUCUCCUCGGCCUGACUGAUGACUAUUCCAGGUUUCCUUACGCGUGGCUAGGAGGCCUUGUAGAUGGGCAAAUGGCGUUGGAUGGAUGGAUCUGAAUGUGACUUCCAAGAUUGGGGCGCUUUAUCAACCAAGCCAGCGUUUUUGGGAGUUCAGCUACCAGGAUAAGAAGACCCCCGGACAGUGGACCUGCUUCUACUACAGAUUUAAACUUCCUUUUGUGUGUAGAAGGGCCCGAGUGGAGUUGUGCUGGCUGAGGGUCUCACAGACGGCGAUGAAGAUGAUGACGAUGACGAGUGCUGGAUCUCACGAUUCACUCCAUCAGUUAAUAUUCUUUUGUGUUUCUUCAUCGUGUUUUUCAAGUCACUCACACAAUAAAUAAACCUUUGUUUGGAUUUCUUUGAUAUUAAAAUGUUUGAACUGUAAGUAAACAAUAAAGAGCAAUGAGCUUGACAUCAGCCUCCUGUCACUUGACUGUCCCCCUUCAGCCGUCUG